GAAAAGGGAAUGGUCCAGCGCCAAGUCUUGACGCUCAACGUGUUCAAGAGAUGCGGCGUUCAUGUGUUGGUGCAUCGUGCACUGUCUCUAGUCUCAAGUUCCCUUGACAGGGACAUCCAAAGCGGGUGCUAGGCCCAUAGGGACAUGAGACCAGUGUACGCCAGCCAAUGCAUUCUAGAGUCAGGUUGCUUGAGAGUGCAGCCUAAAGUCGGUGGUAAACUCCAUCCAAGACUAAAUAUUACAGCGAGACCGAUAGCAAACAAGUACCGUGAAGGAAAGUUGCAAAGCACUUUGAAGAGAGAGUUCAACAGUACGUGAAACCACUGGGAGGCAAACAGAUGGAACCACGAAGUGUGCGUCUCGGUCGAUUCAAUCCACGUCGUCGGGUGUUGUUGGUUGAAUAGGAUCUCUUCGGAGGUUGUUCGCCCAGCUUCUACCAGACGUCAUGGGUGCAUUUCGUGCCGAGGAUGCUAAGCCACGUUCAACCAGAGUUGGGACAGCCAUAGGACAGGGCCUGGGAAAGGUGCCCGCCAAGUGCUUGCAUUUGGCGGCGUUAUAGACCCGGGCCGGAACUGUCGCCUAACAUGCUGGUUGAUGCAAGUUCUCCUUCGGGAGUCAAACCGUAACUACCUGUGUUCGGGAGCCGGCGUUUCGGUGUGUUCUUUGCGUAUCUUUGGGUGCGAAAAGCCAUGCCAACAGCGUCGUCUAACGGAUGCUUGUGUGUUGCGGUGGAACUGUGGCGCGAGUAGGUCGGUCUCCAUCUGACCCGUCUUGAAACAC
RNAcentral lists this ribosomal RNA (780 nucleotides) under Alloptes sp. n. MD-2014. RNAcentral describes it as "eukaryotic LSU rRNA". It matches the Rfam family "Eukaryotic large subunit ribosomal RNA", at positions 95 to 662 of the family's 3401-position model. Lineage: Eukaryota; Metazoa; Arthropoda; Arachnida; Sarcoptiformes; Alloptidae. The record is from RNAcentral.